AUGAAACAAACACAUUCAUUUCAUCAUCUACAAAGACAUAACAUGAAGUUUUGUCAUGAGUCUGCAAUGAACAAGUCUACUGAUGUCAUUUGUCUAAAAGUAUGGGCUCACUUCAUGGCUCUGUGUCACAUUUUGGUUUUCCAUCACAGUUUUUCCACUACUUGGAUUUCUAAUAAAUUGUCAGCUGUAAACAUGCAAAUAUCAUUGUGAUAAAGAGUAUCAUAUAAGAGGCCAUGCUGUAAACAUUUCAGCAGCUGAAAAUACAUGGAAUUCUGUAUACUACCUGGUAAACAUUGCACAAAUUAUUCAGUCUGGCUGUCUACUUUGAUUUAAUUGGAGAGAGAAACUGUAAACUGUUCUAUUUAUAUUCUGAGAACACAGUAUCUCUAAAGACAAAACUGAAUAAAUUUCAUCAUUAUUCAAUAAAAAAUUUGUUUA
This 438-nucleotide long non-coding RNA is filed under the name Callithrix jacchus (white-tufted-ear marmoset). RNAcentral describes it as "lncRNA (ENSCJAG00000081479.1)". The record is from RNAcentral. Lineage: Eukaryota; Metazoa; Chordata; Mammalia; Primates; Cebidae.